This 173-nucleotide small RNA is filed under the name Sinomonas humi. RNAcentral describes it as "c-di-AMP riboswitch aptamer (ydaO/yuaA leader)". It matches the Rfam family "c-di-AMP riboswitch aptamer (ydaO/yuaA leader)". Rfam says of the family: This family represents a conserved RNA structure found upstream of the ydaO and yuaA genes in Bacillus subtilis and related genes in other bacteria. The ydaO/yuaA element is thought to act as a genetic "off" switch for the ydaO and yuaA genes in its native state. Lineage: Bacteria; Bacillati; Actinomycetota; Actinomycetes; Micrococcales; Micrococcaceae. The record is from Rfam by way of RNAcentral. RNAcentral also lists the same sequence under 1 other name.
CUCUGCCGCUGGCCGGAAUCCGUUCGCACAACCGUUUGGCAGGGGCGGGGGAACCACUUUCGGGCCUCUUCACCGAGGUCCUUGGGGUAAAGCAGCCCGGUGCUUGCACCGGGAGGCCGGAUACUUCCAGUCCGAACCCGACAGCUCACCUCGCAGGCAUUGGGAGAGGCUAC